RNAcentral lists this ribosomal RNA (370 nucleotides) under uncultured organism. RNAcentral describes it as "bacterial SSU rRNA". It matches the Rfam family "Bacterial small subunit ribosomal RNA", at positions 526 to 896 of the family's 1533-position model. The record is from RNAcentral.
CGUAGGGUGCGAGCGUUAAUCGGAAUUACUGGGCGUAAAGCGUGCGCAGGCGGUUUUGUAAGACAGGCGUGAAAUCCCCGGGCUCAACCUGGGACCUGCAUUUGUGACUGCAUAGCUAGAGUACGGUAGAGGGGGAUGGAAUUCCGCGUGUAGCAGUGAAAUGCGUAGAUAUGCGGAGGAACACCGAUGGCGAAGGCAAUCCCCUGGACCUGUACUGACGCUCAUGCACGAAAGCGUGGGGAGCAAACAGGAUUAGAUACCCUGGUAGCCCACGCCCUAAACGAUGUCAACUGGUUGUUGGGUCUUCACUGACUCAGUAACGAAGCUAACGCGUGAAGUUGACCGCCUGGGGAGUACGGCCGCAAGGUUG